RNAcentral lists this ribosomal RNA (57 nucleotides) under Fusarium oxysporum. RNAcentral describes it as "partial 28S ribosomal RNA". It matches the Rfam family "Eukaryotic large subunit ribosomal RNA", at positions 1 to 56 of the family's 3401-position model. The record is from RNAcentral. RNAcentral also lists the same sequence under 3 other names. Lineage: Eukaryota; Fungi; Ascomycota; Sordariomycetes; Hypocreales; Nectriaceae.
UUGACCUCGGAUCAGGUAGGAAUACCCGCUGAACUUAAGCAUAUCAAUAAGCGGAGA